Molecule: ribosomal RNA, 2902 nt
Filed under: human gut metagenome
Description: bacterial LSU rRNA
Rfam family: Bacterial large subunit ribosomal RNA
Source: RNAcentral
UUAAGCGACUAAGCGUACACGGUGGAUGCCCUGGCAGUCAGAGGCGAUGAAGGACGUGCUAAUCUGCGAUAAGCGUCGGUAAGGUGAUAUGAACCGUUAUAACCGGCGAUUUCCGAAUGGGGAAACCCAGUGUGAUUCGUCACACUAUCAUUAACUGAAUCCAUAGGUUAAUGAGGCGAACCGGGGGAACUGAAACAUCUAAGUACCCCGAGGAAAAGAAAUCAACCGAGAUUCCCCCAGUAGCGGCGAGCGAACGGGGAGCAGCCCAGAGCCUGAAUCAGUGUGUGUGUUAGUGGAAGCGUCUGGAAAGGCGCGCGAUACAGGGUGACAGCCCCGUACACAAAAAUGCACAUACUGUGAGCUCGAUGAGUAGGGCGGGACACGUGGUAUCCUGUCUGAAUAUGGGGGGACCAUCCUCCAAGGCUAAAUACUCCUGACUGACCGAUAGUGAACCAGUACCGUGAGGGAAAGGCGAAAAGAACCCCGGCGAGGGGAGUGAAAAAGAACCUGAAACCGUGUACGUACAAGCAGUGGGAGCACGCUUAGGCGUGUGACUGCGUACCUUUUGUAUAAUGGGUCAGCGACUUAUAUUCUGUAGCAAGGUUAACCGAAUAGGGGAGCCGAAGGGAAACCGAGUCUUAACUGGGCGUUAAGUUGCAGGGUAUAGACCCGAAACCCGGUGAUCUAGCCAUGGGCAGGUUGAAGGUUGGGUAACACUAACUGGAGGACCGAACCGACUAAUGUUGAAAAAUUAGCGGAUGACUUGUGGCUGGGGGUGAAAGGCCAAUCAAACCGGGAGAUAGCUGGUUCUCCCCGAAAGCUAUUUAGGUAGCGCCUCGUGAAUUCAUCUCCGGGGGUAGAGCACUGUUUCGGCAAGGGGGUCAUCCCGACUUACCAACCCGAUGCAAACUGCGAAUACCGGAGAAUGUUAUCACGGGAGACACACGGCGGGUGCUAACGUCCGUCGUGAAGAGGGAAACAACCCAGACCGCCAGCUAAGGUCCCAAAGUCAUGGUUAAGUGGGAAACGAUGUGGGAAGGCCCAGACAGCCAGGAUGUUGGCUUAGAAGCAGCCAUCAUUUAAAGAAAGCGUAAUAGCUCACUGGUCGAGUCGGCCUGCGCGGAAGAUGUAACGGGGCUAAACCAUGCACCGAAGCUGCGGCAGCGACGCUGAUGCGUUGUUGGGUAGGGGAGCGUUCUGUAAGCCUGUGAAGGUGUGCUGUGAGGCAUGCUGGAGGUAUCAGAAGUGCGAAUGCUGACAUAAGUAACGAUAAAGCGGGUGAAAAGCCCGCUCGCCGGAAGACCAAGGGUUCCUGUCCAACGUUAAUCGGGGCAGGGUGAGUCGACCCCUAAGGCGAGGCCGAAAGGCGUAGUCGAUGGGAAACAGGUUAAUAUUCCUGUACUUGGUGUUACUGCGAAGGGGGGACGGAGAAGGCUAUGUUGGCCGGGCGACGGUUGUCCCGGUUUAAGCGUGUAGGCUGGUUUUCCAGGCAAAUCCGGAAAAUCAAGGCUGAGGCGUGAUGACGAGGCACUACGGUGCUGAAGCAACAAAUGCCCUGCUUCCAGGAAAAGCCUCUAAGCAUCAGGUAACAUCAAAUCGUACCCCAAACCGACACAGGUGGUCAGGUAGAGAAUACCAAGGCGCUUGAGAGAACUCGGGUGAAGGAACUAGGCAAAAUGGUGCCGUAACUUCGGGAGAAGGCACGCUGAUAUGUAGGUGAAGUCCCUUGCGGAUGGAGCUGAAAUCAGUCGAAGAUACCAGCUGGCUGCAACUGUUUAUUAAAAACACAGCACUGUGCAAACACGAAAGUGGACGUAUACGGUGUGACGCCUGCCCGGUGCCGGAAGGUUAAUUGAUGGGGUUAGCGCAAGCGAAGCUCUUGAUCGAAGCCCCGGUAAACGGCGGCCGUAACUAUAACGGUCCUAAGGUAGCGAAAUUCCUUGUCGGGUAAGUUCCGACCUGCACGAAUGGCGUAAUGAUGGCCAGGCUGUCUCCACCCGAGACUCAGUGAAAUUGAACUCGCUGUGAAGAUGCAGUGUACCCGCGGCAAGACGGAAAGACCCCGUGAACCUUUACUAUAGCUUGACACUGAACAUUGAGCCUUGAUGUGUAGGAUAGGUGGGAGGCUUUGAAGUGUGGACGCCAGUCUGCAUGGAGCCGACCUUGAAAUACCACCCUUUAAUGUUUGAUGUUCUAACGUGGACCCGUAAUCCGGGUUGCGGACAGUGUCUGGUGGGUAGUUUGACUGGGGCGGUCUCCUCCUAAAGAGUAACGGAGGAGCACGAAGGUUGGCUAAUCCUGGUCGGACAUCAGGAGGUUAGUGCAAUGGCAUAAGCCAGCUUGACUGCGAGCGUGACGGCGCGAGCAGGUGCGAAAGCAGGUCAUAGUGAUCCGGUGGUUCUGAAUGGAAGGGCCAUCGCUCAACGGAUAAAAGGUACUCCGGGGAUAACAGGCUGAUACCGCCCAAGAGUUCAUAUCGACGGCGGUGUUUGGCACCUCGAUGUCGGCUCAUCACAUCCUGGGGCUGAAGUAGGUCCCAAGGGUAUGGCUGUUCGCCAUUUAAAGUGGUACGCGAGCUGGGUUUAGAACGUCGUGAGACAGUUCGGUCCCUAUCUGCCGUGGGCGCUGGAGAAUUGAGGGGGGCUGCUCCUAGUACGAGAGGACCGGAGUGGACGCAUCACUGGUGUUCGGGUUGUCAUGCCAAUGGCACUGCCCGGUAGCUAAAUGCGGAAGAGAUAAGUGCUGAAAGCAUCUAAGCACGAAACUUGCCCCGAGAUGAGUUCUCCCUGACUCCUUGAGAGUCCUGAAGGAACGUUGAAGACGACGACGUUGAUAGGCCGGGUGUGUAAGCGCAGCGAUGCGUUGAGCUAACCGGUACUAAUGAACCGUGAGGCUUAACCUU